CCUACGGGAGGCAGCAGUGGGGAAUAUUGCACAAUGGGGGGAACCCUGAUGCAGCGACGCCGCGUGGGUGAAGGAGUAUUUCGGUAUGUAAAGCCCUAUCAGCAGGGAAGAACAAUGACGGUACCUGACUAAGAAGCACCGGCUAAAUACGUGCCAGCAGCCGCGGUAAUACGUAUGGUUCAAGCGUUAUCCGGAUUUACGGGGUGUAAAGGGAGCGCAGGCGGCUCGUUAAGCCUGGUGUGAAAGUCCGCGGCCCAACCGCGGGACUGCAUUGGGAACUGGCGCGCUGGAGUGCCGGAGGGGUAGGCGGAAUUCCUAGUGUAGCGGUGAAAUGCGUAGAUAUUAGGAGGAACACCAGUGGCGAGGCGGCCUACUGGACGGUGACUGACGCUGAGGCUCGAAAGCGUGGGGAGCAAACAGGAUUAGAUACCCCUGUAGUC
RNAcentral lists this ribosomal RNA (440 nucleotides) under uncultured bacterium. Its description in RNAcentral is "partial 16S ribosomal RNA". It matches the Rfam family "Bacterial small subunit ribosomal RNA", at positions 338 to 795 of the family's 1533-position model. The record is from RNAcentral.